GAUGAACGCUGGCGGCGUGCCUAACACAUGCAAGUCGAGCGAUCUUCUUCGGAAGAGAGCGGCGGACGGGUGAGUAACGCGUGGGUAACCUGCCCUGUACACACGGAUAACAUACCGAAAGGUAUGCUAAUACGAGAUAAUAUGCUUUUAUCGCAUGGUAGAAGUAUCAAAGCUCCGGCGGUACAGGAUGGACCCGCGUCUGAUUAGCUAGUUGGUAAGGUAAUGGCUUACCAAGGCGACGAUCAGUAGCCGACCUGAGAGGGUGAUCGGCCACAUUGGAACUGAGACACGGUCCAAACUCCUACGGGAGGCAGGAGUGGGGAAUAUUGCACAAUGGGCGAAAGCCUGAUGCAGCGACGCCGCGUGAGCGAUGAAGGCCUUCGGGUCGUAAAGCUCUGUCCUCAAGGAAGAUAAUGACGGUACUUGAGGAGGAAGCCCCGGCUAACUACGUGCCAGCCGCCGCGGUAA
Molecule: ribosomal RNA, 468 nt
Filed under: uncultured bacterium
Lineage: Bacteria
Description: partial 16S ribosomal RNA
Rfam family: Bacterial small subunit ribosomal RNA
Source: RNAcentral